Marasmius tenuissimus is the source of this 101-nucleotide non-coding RNA. NCBI's taxonomy places the organism in Eukaryota, Fungi, Basidiomycota, Agaricomycetes, Agaricales, Marasmiaceae. The record is from the annotation of a GenBank genome assembly.
GAUCCCUUAGCUCAGCGGUAGAGCAUCUGAUUCCAGUAUAACAUGAAUGAGUUGGGCCUAUCGGAUCCAGAAGGUCGUCCGUUCAAUCCGGGCAGGGAUCA